RNAcentral lists this unclassified non-coding RNA (217 nucleotides) under Hevea brasiliensis (rubber tree). The record is from RNAcentral. Lineage: Eukaryota; Viridiplantae; Streptophyta; Magnoliopsida; Malpighiales; Euphorbiaceae.
UACAGACCCAAAAGUGAACACCUGUAGGUAACAACAAUCAUGGGUAAAUUUCGGCGUAAAGAUACAUGCACUUCUGCAACGAUGAAAACUGAAAGCAUCAGUCCAACAUCACCACCAAAAAUAAGAAUACUAAAGUCACUGCCACGUUAUAAUCAAUACUGUUCACAUGUUUGGUCUCAAUCUCAGGUCUAUUUUUCUUUCCAAUUUACAACAUUAG